CAGUCGCCGCGGUAAUACAGAGGGUGCGAGCGUUAAUCGGAUUUACUGGGCGUAAAGCGUGCGUAGGCGGCCUUUUAAGUCGGAUGUGAAAUCCCUGAGCUUAACUUAGGAAUUGCAUUCGAUACUGGGAAGCUAGAGUAUGGGAGAGGAUGGUAGAAUUCCAGGUGUAGCGGUGAAAUGCGUAGAGAUCUGGAGGAAUACCGAUGGCGAAGGCAGCCAUCUGGCCUAAUACUGACGCUGAGGUACGAAAGCAUGGGGAGCAAACAGGAUUAGAUACCCGUGUAGUCCCUGUCUCUUAUAC
This 301-nucleotide ribosomal RNA is filed under the name uncultured bacterium. RNAcentral describes it as "partial 16S ribosomal RNA". It matches the Rfam family "Bacterial small subunit ribosomal RNA", at positions 509 to 807 of the family's 1533-position model. The record is from RNAcentral.